RNAcentral lists this ribosomal RNA (486 nucleotides) under uncultured bacterium. RNAcentral describes it as "partial 16S ribosomal RNA". It matches the Rfam family "Bacterial small subunit ribosomal RNA", at positions 30 to 507 of the family's 1533-position model. The record is from RNAcentral.
AUUGAACGCUGGCGGCAUGCCUUACACAUGCAAGUCGAACGGCAGCACGGGUGCUUGCACCUGGUGGCGAGUGGCGAACGGGUGAGUAAUACAUCGGAACAUGUCCUGUAGUGGGGGAUAGCCCGGCGAAAGCCGGAUUAAUACCGCAUACGAUCUACGGAUGAAAGCGGGGGACCUUCGGGCCUCGCGCUAUAGGGUUGGCCGAUGGCUGAUUAGCUAGUUGGUGGGGUAAAGGCCUACCAAGGCGACGAUCAGUAUCUGGUCUGAGAGGACGACCAGCCACACUGGGACUGAGACACGGCCCAGACUCCUACGGGAGGCAGCAGUGGGGAAUUUUGGACAAAGGGCGAAAGCCUGAUCCAGCAAUGCCGCGUGUGUGAAGAAGGCCUUCGGGUUGUAAAGCACUUUUGUCCGGAAAGAAAUCCUUGGCCCUAAUACGGUCGGGGGAUGACGGUACCGGAAGAAUAAGCACCGGCUAACUACGUG